Molecule: ribosomal RNA, 407 nt
Filed under: uncultured Pseudomonas sp.
Lineage: Bacteria; Pseudomonadati; Pseudomonadota; Gammaproteobacteria; Pseudomonadales; Pseudomonadaceae
Description: bacterial SSU rRNA
Rfam family: Bacterial small subunit ribosomal RNA
Source: RNAcentral
AGGCCUUGACAUGCAGAGAACUUUCCAGAGAUGGAUUGGUGCCUUCGGGAACUCUGACACAGGUGCUGCAUGGCUGUCGGUCAGCUCGUGUCGUGAGAUGUUGGGUUAAGUCCGUAACGAGCGCAACCCUUGUCCUUAGUUACCAGCACGUUAUGGUGGGCACUCUAAGGAGACUGCCGGUGACAAACCGGAGGAAGGUGGGGAUGACGUCAAGUCAUCAUGGCCCUUACGGCCUGGGCUACACACGUGCUACAAUGGUCGGUACAAAGGGUUGCCAAGCCGCGAGGUGGAGCUAAUCCCAUAAAACCGAUCGUAGUCCGGAUCGCAGUCUGCAACUCGACUGCGUGAAGUCGGAAUCGCUAGUAAUCGUGAAUCAGGAUGUCACGGUGAAUACGUUCCCGGGCCUU